GGGUCCUAGGAGGCUUUCGGUAUCCUAAACAGGUUUAUUUUAAACUAACAACUAGUUUGAAGGGAAGGGGAUAAAGAAUUUGAAUAACUUCUGAACUGUAGUUUUCUCUUCUUUCAAAAUAUUUUAAUGUAAAACAAUAUGGAUGUGAUUGAAAACAAAAAUCAAGGGGGUGUCCGCGGCUUUGAUCAUUUUUUUUUUCAAAAUUAUUAUCUAAAGUUUGACUUCUAUAAGAUUCGCGUUUUAUUUUGUCACUUGGAUAAAUUGUUUCUAAAAAAAUCCUGCACAUGAAUAUUGAUUGAAUACCAACCAGCACUACUCCUUCAUGAAAGACGAGAGGCUGUUGGACCUACAUUUAUUCGUUUAAGAAUGAAUUUAUCAUUUAAAUCGUUUUUGUUUAUUUUUAAUUUUUCCCAACAGAACUGGUGCUAGAAGCCCUCCGCAACAUCGCAAAUAUCGCAUUCAUACAUCAGCGUUGGUGUCAUACCUUCAACUUAACAUUCGCAUACCUGUAGAGUUUGGAAGUUUAACUCCAUUCGGUCAUCCAGUCAAGGUCCAGGGCUCCAGGCCGUGAAUGUCCGCACUCAAAAUGGGUUUACUUUGUUGGCGUCAUCUAGACGAGUCAUCAUCACUAAGGGGAGGGAAGGAAACCAUUUGUGGUGGAUGGCAACUGAGCCGAGGCAACAAGAGAGGCCAUCAAACCAGACAGCGUCAAAAUACGCUUGAAUCCAAAAGAGUUCGACUUCAAUUAAAUUAAUUACCAAUAUUGAAAAACCUUGCCUUAAAAAUCGAGAUUAAUUUCUUCUACCGAACUACUUGCUAACUAGACGAUCGUCGAUUGUGCGGAAAUUCAGGAGUCAGUCCCGUCUUUCAUAGUGUCCAGAUUAGGUGGCGAACAAUCGCCCUAUCAGGGUGUGACAAACCGGCGGGAUCGUGAACUCCCUGUUUCCAUAAACGAUCAAGGGCUGCUGGGCCAACGAAAGUUGACGUUCCGGGGUGAUGGUUCUCUCACUGGCUGUCAUUAAAAAAAAACCUGGAUUCCCGUCAAGGUGGUUUCAAUCAUCAAGUGCCAACGCCCAUUCAUAUCAGAAAUCACCAAGACAUUGAAGCGAAGAAUCAAUAUUUUUUCCAGACAAAUAUCAUGUUGAUUUAGCUGGUAUCGUCGUACGAUGACAACUGCUCGUCAACCAGUAUCGAUGAAAAGAAG
This is a long non-coding RNA of Daphnia pulicaria, 1204 nucleotides long. RefSeq lists it as uncharacterized. NCBI's taxonomy places the organism in Eukaryota, Metazoa, Arthropoda, Branchiopoda, Diplostraca, Daphniidae. The transcript has 6 exons. The record is from RefSeq and is a predicted model, not a curated record.